RNAcentral lists this ribosomal RNA (794 nucleotides) under uncultured Amylibacter sp. RNAcentral describes it as "bacterial SSU rRNA". It matches the Rfam family "Bacterial small subunit ribosomal RNA", at positions 24 to 865 of the family's 1533-position model. The record is from RNAcentral. Lineage: Bacteria; Pseudomonadati; Pseudomonadota; Alphaproteobacteria; Rhodobacterales; Paracoccaceae.
UCAGAACGAACGCUGGCGGCAGGCCUAACACAUGCAAGUCGAGCGCUACCUUCGGGUGGAGCGGCGGACGGGUUAGUAACGCGUGGGAAUAUACCCAGUUCUAAGGAAUAGCCUCUGGAAACGGAGAGUAAUACCUUAUACGCCCUUCGGGGGAAAGAUUUAUCGGAAUUGGAUUAGCCCGCGUUAGAUUAGAUAGUUGGUGGGGUAAUGGCCUACCAAGUCUACGAUCUAUAGCUGGUUUGAGAGGAUGAUCAGCAACACUGGGACUGAGACACGGCCCAGACUCCUACGGGAGGCAGCAGUGGGGAAUCUUAGACAAUGGGCGCAAGCCUGAUCUAGCCAUGCCGCGUGUGUGAUGAAGGCCUUAGGGUCGUAAAGCACUUUCAACUGUGAAGAUAAUGACGGUAGCAGUAGAAGAAACCCCGGCUAACUCCGUGCCAGCAGCCGCGGUAAUACGGAGGGGGUUAGCGUUGUUCGGAAUUACUGGGCGUAAAGCGUACGUAGGCGGAUUAGUAAGUUAGAGGUGAAAUCCCAGGGCUCAACCCUGGAACUGCCUUUAAAACUGCUAGUCUUGAGAUCGAGAGAGGUGAGUGGAAUUCCAAGUGUAGAGGUGAAAUUCGUAGAUAUUUGGAGGAACACCAGUGGCGAAGGCGGCUCACUGGCUCGAUACUGACGCUGAGGUACGAAAGUGUGGGGAGCAAACAGGAUUAGAUACCCUGGUAGUCCACACCGUAAACGAUGAAUGCCAGACGUCAGCAGGCUUGCCUGUUGGUGUCACACCUAACGGAUUAAGC